CAAGUGCAGUAAAUUUCGAUUCUCCGGUGACGGAAGAAUCUUCUGGCAGUGCCAGUUGCUUCCUCACUAUGCCACAAACUUUUUCCAAGGUCUCAGGUUUAGCCUGGAAACUCGAAAGCGGAUUAUCAUAUCCGGACUGCAUUCCAAGAGAUGGGAACCUAACUGAGUUGACAUUACAGAUCCCACGAACCUGCAGAGAAAAAUAGAAUUGAUUAAACUCGAUGGAAACCUCUA
This is a long non-coding RNA of Hibiscus syriacus, 234 nucleotides long. RefSeq lists it as uncharacterized. NCBI's taxonomy places the organism in Eukaryota, Viridiplantae, Streptophyta, Magnoliopsida, Malvales, Malvaceae. The record is from RefSeq and is a predicted model, not a curated record. The transcript is spliced from 3 exons.